CCAGAGGGGGACAACAGUUGGAAACGACUGCUAAUACCGCAUGAAACAUUUGAACCGCAUGGUUUGAAUGUCAAAGAUUUAUCGCUGGAAGAUGGCCUCGCGUCUGAUUAGCUAGUAGGCGGGGUAACGGCCCACCUAGGCGACGAUCAGUAGCCGGACUGAGAGGUUGACCGGCCACAUUGGGACUGAGAUACGGCCCAGACUCCUACGGGAGGCAGCAGUGGGGAAUAUUGGGCAAUGGGCGCAAGCCUGACCCAGCAACGCCGCGUGAAGGAAGAAGGCUUUCGGGUUGUAAACUUCUUUUAAGAGGGAAGAGAAGAAGACGGUACCUCUUGAAUAAGCCACGGCUAACUACGUGCCAGCAGCCGCGGUAAUACGUAGGUGGCAAGCGUUGUCCGGAUUUACUGGGUGUAAAGGGCGUGCAGCCGGGAAGACAAGUCAGAUGUGAAAUCCCGCGGCUCAACCGCGGAACUGCAUUUGAAACUGUUUUUCUUGAGUACCGGAGAGGUCAUCGGAAUUCCUUGUGUAGCGGUGAAAUGCGUAGAUAUAAGGAAGAACACCAGUGGCGAAGGCGGAUGACUGGACGGCAACUGACGGUGAGGCGCGAAAGCGUGGGGAGCANACAGGAUUAGAUACCCUGGUAGU
This 645-nucleotide ribosomal RNA is filed under the name uncultured bacterium. RNAcentral describes it as "bacterial SSU rRNA". It matches the Rfam family "Bacterial small subunit ribosomal RNA", at positions 133 to 794 of the family's 1533-position model. The record is from RNAcentral.